Transfer RNA from Caenorhabditis briggsae, 88 nucleotides. It matches the Rfam family "tRNA". From Rfam's summary of the family: Transfer RNA (tRNA) molecules are approximately 80 nucleotides in length. Their secondary structure includes four short double-helical elements and three loops (D, anti-codon, and T loops). The record is from Rfam. Lineage: Eukaryota; Metazoa; Nematoda; Chromadorea; Rhabditida; Rhabditidae.
GCCCCGGUGGCCGAGUGGUCGAAGGCGUGAGACUUAUGUUCUCAUUGGCAUUGGCAACCGAUCGCGGGUUCGAAUCCCGUCCGGGGCA